RNAcentral lists this ribosomal RNA (406 nucleotides) under uncultured bacterium. RNAcentral's name for it is "partial 16S ribosomal RNA". It matches the Rfam family "Bacterial small subunit ribosomal RNA", at positions 29 to 526 of the family's 1533-position model. The record is from RNAcentral.
AUUGAACGCUGGCGGCAGGCCUAACACAUGCAAGUCGAACGAGUGGCGGACGGGUGAGUAAUGUCUGGGAAACGGCCUGAUGGAGGGGGAUAACUACUGGAAACGGUAGCUAAAACCGACUAGCUUCAGAUGUGCCCGGAGUGGAUUGGCGUGUGGGUGGGGUAACGGCUCACCAAGGGCAAGAUCCCUAGCUGGUCUGAGAGGAUGACAAGCCACACUGGAACUGAGACACGGUCCAGACUCCUACGGGAGGCAGCAGUGGGGAAUAUUGGACAAUGGGCGAAAGCCUGAUGCAGCCAUGCCGCGUGUAUGAAGAAGGCCUUCGGGUUGUAAAGUACUUUCAGCGGGGAGGCGUUACCCACAGAAGAAGCACCGGCUAACUCCGUGCCAGCAGCCGCGGUAAUAC